Long non-coding RNA from Cucurbita maxima (winter squash), 1016 nucleotides. RefSeq lists it as uncharacterized. The transcript has 2 exons. The record is from RefSeq and is a predicted model, not a curated record. NCBI's taxonomy places the organism in Eukaryota, Viridiplantae, Streptophyta, Magnoliopsida, Cucurbitales, Cucurbitaceae.
GAGAAGCCCAAAAGAGGACAAUAUCUACUAGCAGUGGGCUUGGGCCAUUACAAAUAGUAUUAGAGUCAGACAUGGGGCGACGUGCAGCGAGGAGAUUGAGUUCUGAAGGGAGUGAGAUCUCACAUCUGUUGGGGAGGAGGAUGAAUACCCCCUUUAUAAGGAUAUGGAAACCUCUCCCUAUCAAAUGCGUUUUAAAAACCUGGAGGGAAAGCCCAAGAGGGAAAAUCCAAUGAAGACAAUAUCUGCUAGUGGUGGGCUUGAGCCAUUACAUCUAUCCUUCCGACUCUUUUUACCUUUUCCCAUCAAGAUAAAGGACAGUGGGGUUAGGGGUUAUGUUUGGAUUUUGCUGUAUAAUAUAUAUCAAAUUGGGCAGGACCUCAGAAAUCAAUAAGAUGGCAUUAUUAACAAGCACAUGACUUUUAUCUUCCUACAUUUCAAAAAAGUGAUCUGAUGUUUUUCUUUGUUCCAUUAUGAAAGGGUCCAGUGUCGGAAUCUGCUGUGAAGUGCAUACACACUGAUGUCAAGCACUGAAUCAUCACUACCAAAUAAGAAAAAAAAUCAAGAUGGUUUCUUGCUUUUAAGUUCUAUUGGCACUAUAUACUAGGCAUGCAUAAAGGAGGGGCUUUUACCUGGUGAGUCGUGAAAGUUCAUACUUUUACUUUAAACCUCCAAAUCAUUGAGCAAUCCAAACUUCUUUUACAUUAUCUACUUGUUCCCAUAUUUUUCUGCUAUUUGCAUCUGAAUCAUCCCGUUUGCACUUCCUUUCCAAGCUCCUUAUCUUGUGGAUUUCCCAUUUCAUUUUUUCCCUCUUAUCUAAAUCACCCACAAAGUGUAGUUUUUUAAUAUGUUCUUAGCAGUAUCCACUUAGGACGAUUGUUUUCCUCUCAACUGAAAUUGCCUUUUAUUUAUCUAUCUAUUCCUCAAAUUGAUCCAUGUGUUCCAGAGAUGUGCAACAUAAUCUCUAUCUACAUGUAUGUAUGUGAAUCUCUAUCAAUAUAUAAUCUUGAUUCUGUGAA